UUAUCUUUAGAUUCUGAAUUGAAUGUUGUUAUUUUAAGGUCUUGGAUUAGAUAUUGGUUAUUUAAAGGGUUUGAUUGUGUGUCGAACUUUUUUCGCACUACACGCUGCGUCAAGUGGUACUAUAGCAGGGAUUUUUGCUCUUGUUAUUAUGUCCAAUACUAGUGGUAGUGGUAGCAACCAACCUUGUGAUGAUGACCAGGAGUUGCAAGCUCUUUGGAGGAUCAUCAAUGAAUGAACAUCUACUAGCAAUAUUGAGAAGCAAUUGUUGGAGAUUUGAAAGCUAAUGCUUACUUUUUUUGGCGUUGCUGACCAUGAGGAUGGGAACAAUGAAUUGAAUCAAGCCGGAGGAGAUAGCCAUGGUAGAUUCAACGAUUAACCUGUCCUUUUAAAUUCUAGGAGGGUAAAAGUUGAACAAAGAUAUCAACUUGAAUAAGAAAAACAACCUUAAGUUGAAGACCAUAAGCUUGAAGAAUUUGAACUUGAGCAGACUGAAACUUUGAUUGUAUUGCCUUUCGUUAUGAUUGAUGAUGAUGAGCUUGAAUUGGAAUUUCUUGAUCAAUCUAUCAUAGAGAAGGAAGUUGAAAUUCGUAAGGAAGAGGAAAGAGAGUUGGAGGUAUCAAUUGAACAUGAAGAACAACCAGCUAUGGAGGAAUCAAUGAAGAUUAAAUAUUUAUCUAAUCAUUUAAUUCCUAUUGCUUUCAUUGAUUUUAUUUAUCAAGAUGUAACAAUGGAUGCAAAGAACAAAAGUUAUUUAACUCAAUUUUAUUCAAGUCAAUCUUGUUGAUUCCGUUCAAGAAGGAGACAUGGUGUAAGCUUCUAUGUAAUCUUCUAGUGGUGUUUUUUAUUCUUCAACACUUUAAAAUUCGAAGUCAAAUUUAUUCGAAAGUGUGAGCGAAUAGCGCAGUGUGCAAAUCAAGAUCACACUUGAAGACUUGUGUUUUCGUAUUUUCACAAAGAUUUCUAUUUUUAAUUGGAUUAUUUAUUUUCCUAG
Molecule: unclassified non-coding RNA, 991 nt
Filed under: Hevea brasiliensis (rubber tree)
Lineage: Eukaryota; Viridiplantae; Streptophyta; Magnoliopsida; Malpighiales; Euphorbiaceae
Source: RNAcentral